This 255-nucleotide ribosomal RNA is filed under the name uncultured bacterium. RNAcentral describes it as "partial 16S ribosomal RNA". It matches the Rfam family "Bacterial small subunit ribosomal RNA", at positions 524 to 777 of the family's 1533-position model. The record is from RNAcentral.
UACGUAGGGUGCAAGCGUUAAUCGGAAUUACUGGGCGUAAAGCGUGCGCAGGCGGUUAUGUAAGACAGGUGUGAAAUCCCCGGGCUUAGCCUGGGAACUGCAUUUGUGACUGCAUAGCUAGAGUACGGUAGAGGGGGAUGGAAUUCCGGCGUGUAGCAGUGAAAUGCGUAGAUAUGCGGAGGAACACCGAUGGCGAAGGCAAUCCCCUGGACCUGUACUGACGCUCAUGCACGAAAGCGUGGGGAGCAAACGAGG